AAGAUUCCUGACUUGGGGGUGUUGUUGACUAACUCCCACAGUUGACCCUGAACCGGGUGUCAAUGUUUCCUAGAAUGUAGGUCAUCGUUCUCCUUUCUUAACUUGGUCUUAGGUGCUGUCCCUGCAAAGAAUCUCUCUUUUCACUGCUCUUCUGUGUCCAGGGGGAUAUUUUUUUUUCAUAAGACCUGCCUGUGAUGUUUCUCUGCCGUGAAUCAUGUCUAUAUCCUCACAAAGGAUAAAAACCAAAGCCACUAGAGCAGAGUCUUUGGAUUUUUCUGAAUAUGGAAAGCAGCCAUGCAUUACAUUGAAGCAUAUUCCAACGUCAGGGAACAGAGCACUGCUUCCUGUCCAUGUCACCGCAAAUUCUGUGCUGAGUGUUACUGCGCCAAAGGACAUGUUAGGAUGCCACAACGGUUCUCAUCUGGUCCGUGAUACUCACAGGCUGAUGUAGUACACUAGAAAGGGAGGGCUCUUUCCAAGUUACAGAACUUAUUUUGCAAUAUUUCCUGGGAAAGAAUUCUGCUACAAGUUUUAAUCAAUGUAAGAAAUGCUGUAACUACAUUAAAGUAAACUGUACAUGAAGCAGUGUGUGUCUGUGUGGUAGGGAAGAAUUCUGUCGAAAAUAAGAUCUGUUCCAUGUAGUACCGUGAAAAUCCAAAAUGCACCAGCAGCCCCUGAACCAAGUG
This 686-nucleotide long non-coding RNA is filed under the name Homo sapiens (human). Its description in RNAcentral is "HSALNT0049331". The record is from RNAcentral. Lineage: Eukaryota; Metazoa; Chordata; Mammalia; Primates; Hominidae.